This 3218-nucleotide long non-coding RNA is filed under the name Mytilus galloprovincialis (Mediterranean mussel). Lineage: Eukaryota; Metazoa; Mollusca; Bivalvia; Mytilida; Mytilidae. The record is from RNAcentral.
GCAGACGUGGUAUAUAAUCCGGGACAAUCAGGUAUAAUGUUUGUCAGAUGUAAUGAAAUUGAAUCAAAUACAUCGUUAAUGUCUAUUGUUUAUUGAAACUACUUAAAUAAUUACUGAAAUGAUUUAAUCAGUUAAUGCUUAGAAACGCAUCAUGAAUAUUAUGCUAUGUCUUUUUCAACACUAACCGAAAAAAAAAUAUCAAACACAAGGUUUCAGAGAAAUUUACUAAGCUAGCGGCACGGAGGGGUAAUAACAAAUGAAUGUUUUUAUUAUAAAGAUGAAAGGGUUGCUUCAUGUAUUUCUUUUUAAUUUAAAUGUCUAUAGAUCUGUUAUCCCAUGAUUUUUUUCUUAUUAUAAAAAUGUUGGUCAGAUCACUUUCAUAGAAAAGGGCCAUUCAAUUACGACAGGAAAUUAUCGUUAACAAUAUUGUUUUGUUGUAUUAAUUCAAAAUAAACACCAGUCAGUUCAUGUUUUCUUAUAAGCUCACUUUUUAAAAUGAAAUAUGAGCUUUUGCCGUCCGUCCGGUGUAAACUAUUUCAAACAUCUACUCAACAUAUUCCAACUAAACCUUUGCUGAAUGAUCCUUAUGUUAUUUAAAAUGCAAUUUGUGUUUUAUUUUGUAUUUCGUAAAAAAAAACAUGGGUAUCAGGCUAAAAAUAGAACAUAGGGGUAAAAUGCAACUGUUGGCCUUUAUCUCAAAAACUAAAGCAGUUAAAAAAAAUCUGACAUGUAGUAUACAUGUUCAUCAUGUCAUGUUCUAUCAGCCCUGAUAUGUUCAGAUGAAUAUAACAAUCCAUGGUUGGGUUGCUGCCACACAAUUGUGAAAUCUCAGGACUUUUUGAAGCUUUUGUUUUAUAUCUUAAAUAUUAUUAUAAAUAAAGAUAACCUAUAAACAGUAAAAAUGUUAAGCAAAGUAAGAUCUGUAAAUGAUCGGGUUUAAGGACUAAUAUUGUCAACUGACCAUUCAGGAUAUCAGUGACAUGUUAAAGUUCUCAAAAAGUAUUAAAAAAUAAAUAAGAUUUUAUAAGACUUUAACAAAUGGCUUAUAGUUAUACAUGCCAAAAAAAAAUGGGGUUCAAUGGGCAAAAUCUGAUAAGGCAUUCAAAUGGAUAAAAGCAGAGGAUUGCGAAAAUCUGACAAAAAUUCCAAAACACGACAAGCGAACAUCCAUGACAAGCGAACAUCCUUAAGGAAUUAAUGACAGUUAUAAACAAUUUGUUUAUCAGGUUUUUCUCAUUCAAAAAAUCGUCUGCUCUAAAACUGCUUAACCAAUCUAAACCAAGUUGAAGCUGAAUGGUUCUUAGGUUAUCUAGGAUAAAGCGUUUGUUUUAUUUUCUAUUUUCUCUGAAAAUAUGGCCACCAUGGCUAAAAUAGAACAUAUAGUAGAAUACAGGUGUAUACUUAAAUCACAAAAACUAAAUCAUUUAGAGCAAAUCAAACAAGAAAAUAAAGUAUUCAUUAGGUCAAGGUCUACCUGCUCUGAAAUAACAAGCCACAUUGCGAAGCUGGCUUUUUUGCUCAUGAAUUGAUGGUUUAAAGGAAAUGUUGCAGUUUUCAAUUUUCAUCCUGAAUAUUAUUAUAAAUAAAGAUACACUGUUAACAGCAAACAUGUCCAUAAGUGCUACAAAUAGGUCUAUAUGAUCAACAUUCUCAAUUGGCCCCUUAAGGAGUUAUUGCCCUUAUAAAACCAUUUCUCAUGAUUUGAAAAUUUAGUUUGCUUACUGUAAAAUAAAUAUUCUUCUUUGAAACUGGCGAAUCAAGUUCAGCUUAACUUUGAAUGAAUGAGUUUCAGUGUAAUAGGAAUACAUUUUGUAUUUCUUAUUUCCUUGUACUUCAAAAAGCAGGAGAAAAUGACAAUUUUAAGCCAUUCAUUAAUAUGCAUUGAACAUAAAAAAUAAUCAUUGAUAAAAGAUUUCAGCCAACAUAAACAGAUGAUCGAUAAAGGUUCUAUACGGCCUCUUGUUAAUAUUACACAUCAAUAAUCUAUGUAUCAUAUUUCUGGAAAAAUAAUACCGCUAUCAAAUACCAAAAAAGGGAAAAUACAACAUAUACUUUUGGUGAACAAACACUGCGUCUUGAUUAUAUUAAGAAAAUAACACAAUAUAAACUAAAGGAGUAGGUCCAGUAAGACCCCUUUUUGGCCCCAAAAUAUAGCAGUUUUACAAAAUUGUUAAAAUGUAAACAUUUAGAUAUUUAUUGUACAGUAGAAUGGUCCUGCUACAUAAAUAAAGGCUGUUUUUGACAAUGCAAUACACAUUAUAAAAGGUACUAGCACCAUUAAGUCAGGCUAAAUUACAGAAACCUUCACAAUUCUAGCAUUUUUGUUAAAUUUUAGGCGGUUUUCGUGUGAAACGAAAGUGGCCGCAUUAGUGUUCAUCCUUAAUAUCAAAAUGUAAGUUGUAUUUUAUGAGUAUACAUAACAUAUAUAAAGAUUGAGGAUGAACACGGAUGCGGCCACUUUCAUUUUUGACGAAAACCAUCUGAGAAAUGACAUUGUUCGGCAUAUUUGGUAGAUUUUUCAUAUUUGAGCUUGAAUCGGGUCGUUUUUAAUGACACAAUUAGUUAAACUCUUUCACAUAAACUAAUUGAUUCAAAUGAAAUAGACACUUAAGUGUUUAAAAAGUGGUCAAAAUCCUUCGUAAGAUGAACCUGAAAUUUGAGGCCAAAAUCGGUCCUUACCGAACCUACUCCUUUAAAAAAAUGAAUAAAAAAAAUAUGCCAUUCACUGUGUAGAUGUUUCAAUGAACAACGCUCUUAAAUUGCAGUAUGGACAGAGGCUAUCGACAUACUAAAGGCUACUUUUAUGAAAAAAAAGAAAAUAGCUAGGGUAAGAGGAAUGUUUGCUUCAACAAAUACAGUUACGUUCACAAAGUGGUUACCUGCUAAUUUUCCUGUGGAAGGUGUUAUGUGUGGUUGUGGAAGACACCUAAAAACGCCAAACUCGCUGUUAGUUCACUUACGAAGGAAAAGCUCUGCCGACCGAAAAAAUGUUAAGUUAUUCAAAAAGGGAAUAUAAUCAAAAUAAUAUUAAUGGUUUUGGAGACGUUACAUAGUGCCAUGCAUAUCUUAUUCUGAAUACAUUAACGACGACUGAACAUAAAAAGAAUAUCAAAGUGCAUUAUAUUAACAAUUCUUUAACGAGAUUAAUACCACAGUGGAUAUGUUUCAUGUUUGACAAUAUUUUAUAGACGCUUGUUCAAUUCAAAUGUCAUCACACA